ACGGAAGGCAGCAGUGGGGAAUAUUGCACAAUGGGGGAAACCCUGAUGCAGCGACGCCGCGUGAGCGAUGAAGUAUUUCGGUAUGUAAAGCUCUAUCAGCAGGGAAGAUAAUGACGGUACCUGACUAAGAAGCUCCGGCUAAAUACGUGCCAGCAGCCGCGGUAAUACGUAUGGAGCAAGCGUUAUCCGGAUUUACUGGGUGUAAAGGGAGCGCAGGCGGUCUAGCAAGUCUGAAGUGAAAACCCAGGGCUCAACCUUGGGACUGCUUUGGAAACUGUUGGACUAGAGUGUCGGAGGGGUAAGUGGAAUUCCUAGUGUAGCGGUGAAAUGCGUAGAUAUUAGGAGGAACACCAGUGGCGAAGGCGGCUUACUGGACGACAACUGACGCUGAGGCUCGAAAGCGUGGGGAGCAAACAGGAUUAGAUACCCUGGUA
RNAcentral lists this ribosomal RNA (434 nucleotides) under uncultured Lachnospiraceae bacterium. RNAcentral describes it as "bacterial SSU rRNA". It matches the Rfam family "Bacterial small subunit ribosomal RNA", at positions 341 to 792 of the family's 1533-position model. Lineage: Bacteria; Bacillati; Bacillota; Clostridia; Lachnospirales; Lachnospiraceae. The record is from RNAcentral.